UAGCUGGUUGGUGAGGUAACGGCCCACCAAGGCGACGAUUGGUAGCCGGACUGAGAGGUUGAACGGCCACAUUGGGACUGAGACACGGCCCAGACUCCUACGGGAGGCAGCAGUGGGGGAUAUUGCACAAUGGGGGAAACCCUGAUGCAGCGACGCCGCGUGGAGGAAGAAGGUUUUCGGAUUGUAAACUCCUGUCGUUAGGGACGAAAAAUGACGGUACCGUACAAGAAAGCCACGGCUAACUACGUGCCAGCAGCCGCGGUAAAACGUAGGUGGCAAGCGUUGUCCGGAAUUACUGGGUGUAAAGGGAGCGCAGGCGGGUUUGCAAGUUGGAUGUUUAAUCGAGGGGCUCAACCCCUUUCCGCAUUCAAAACUGCAGAUCUUGAGUGGUGCAGAGGUAGGCGGAAUUCCCGGUGUAGCGGUGGAAUGCGUAGAUAUCGGGAGGAACACCAGUGGCGAAGGCGGCCUACUGGGCACUAACUGACGCUGAGGCUCGAAAGCAUGGGUAGCAAACAGGAUUAGAUACCCUGGUAGUCCAUGCCGUAAACGAUGAUUACUAGGUGUGGGGGGAUUGACCCCCUCCGUGCCGCAGU
This 593-nucleotide ribosomal RNA is filed under the name uncultured bacterium. Its description in RNAcentral is "bacterial SSU rRNA". It matches the Rfam family "Bacterial small subunit ribosomal RNA", at positions 242 to 852 of the family's 1533-position model. The record is from RNAcentral.